UUCCUUCUGAGAAGCAGUCACCCGGCUGUUGRAUUUUCGGUUAUCCAUUGGUCUUGUCUGGACCGUGAAGUCGCGGGAGAGUUUYMACAAAAAUGGUGGAUAAAUAAAUAGAGUUCACUAAGGCCGUUUUAAAAAAGUAUCAAUUUACGGUCUGCUUAACAGGGUGGCGAUCCCAUAGACACCAAUGCGAUAGCAGCUGGGUCUGGUCUGCUUUGUUCAUUGAUUGAACCAGAAAAAACAGCGACUGAAUUGGAAUCCUUCCUGCACCCCCCCAAAAAAACGUGACUAGCUAGCAUAUUGACGCCGAUAAAUACAGAAACAAAUGUCUUUGAAUGCUAACUGUCAAAGGUGACCGUUAGGAUCGCGUGACUAGAAUGGGGGAUAAUUUGGAGCGCGUGCUCCAUUGCGAUGACAAGGAGGAGUUGAGGCGGAAACUGGCCCUGCUACAGAGGGAGUACUCCAGGACAGUUCAGAGAUUACAGGUGAGAGAUAUGGUGUGUAAAGYCGGUAGCAGGUGUGCGUGUGUGGUGAGGGUGUAUGCACUGGUGUGUUAGUAGUGUGUGUAGUAAGCGCCACAAUCAUGACUGAUAUCUGCGUUGUGUGGUACUGCACAUGUUUGACAACAUUGAUGUACAUU
Molecule: long non-coding RNA, 637 nt
Organism: Salvelinus sp. IW2-2015
Lineage: Eukaryota; Metazoa; Chordata; Actinopteri; Salmoniformes; Salmonidae
Source: RefSeq, a predicted model, not a curated record